Molecule: long non-coding RNA, 3172 nt
Organism: Ictalurus punctatus (channel catfish)
Lineage: Eukaryota; Metazoa; Chordata; Actinopteri; Siluriformes; Ictaluridae
Source: Ensembl
AACUUUUAUUUAAACUUUUGUUGUUUCCUGAUUUGUGUUUUUAGUUUUGUUGGUGACUGAGAACCAAUGUAAAGCGCUUUGUAGAACUGCGAAAGUUAAAAAAAAAAAAAAAGCGCUAUAUAACUGCAGACCAUUUACCACGAAUAAUAACGACUAUUACACAUUAGACAGUCAUAAUAUUCUGCACGUCACAUGCUUUCUUUGUUAGAAACUUCUUUAUGGAUUGUGAGAACGAUGUUUAUCGAAAGAAGAAAAAAAAGAAAGAAUCUGGAUCCCAAGAAAAAAAAAGAAAAGUCACACUUUGGUUUAGAGAACAUUCAGCAAUAAUUUAUUUUCAUAAUCUCAAGAACCACCACAUUCCUCAUCUGGAAAAUUCAGAUUCAGUUGCCAACAACACGGUUUUUGAAAAAUGUAAAGUUACUAUACAAAUUCUUAAUAGAAAAAGAAUAAAUUAACUGUGGAAUUCAUUGUUAUUCUCCCCAACAACUCCACAUUUGUUUUUCUACAACACCGUUAUAACGUGUGCGGUUAUUUUUGAUUUGAACUCCAUAAAGUGAUGAAAACAUGCUCUAUUGUCAGGAAUGAGGGAGUGAGCGACACAGUUUAGUAACUAACAUCCUUCAUUUUGCACGACUCGUAUUAAAACUAUUGACAACGGUUAGGAAAAGUCUACAGCUAGGAAACAACGCAGUAACUGGUCAUCCUGUAGCACCUGAAAGGGUUACUUUGUCCUGACAUAGUGAAAAAAAAAAAAAAAAAAAGGAAAUAAAAGAAACACUGUUUGAUUUAAAAAAAAAAAAAAAUUUUUUAAAACAUUUGAAUAUUUAAUCCCCCCGCCCCCCUCCUCUUGUAAAAUAACCCAGACAGGUUUCCAUAGUCUUUUCCAUAUAUGUUGAUAAAUGUGUUAGUUUAUUCUUUUGUUAUAAAAGGUUUAGACUUGUUAUUAAAUACAGGUAAGAAUUAGGGCAUGAGGAGAGAAUAUACGUUUCUUCUUUCUCAGUGGAGAGAUAAGCAUGAGGCCUGAAUCACAGCACUGUGGGAACGAGACGACAUCUUCACGUGAAAUGUUUUCUCUUUCUAUGGGUUCGUUUUAACACCAGAGAACUGAAUUCGCCUCGAACUGUCAUCCGACCUGGAAGUGCAGGACACAUUCACAGACCCAGGACGCAAAAAUAAACUAGAAAACACAACAAUACUAAUAAAAAAAAUAAACGCCACGACAACAAAAUAAACCACGACAGCAAAUCAAAAAACACCUUACAAUUAUCUCAAAACAGAAAGGGACGUCCAGGGAGAACAUGCCAUGUUCCAUGCUGGUUGCUGAUUGGCUACAGUGUACGUUGGAGGAUGUUUAGUUAGAGGAAAUAUGAAAUGCUUUCAUUCCUGCUUAUUAUUAUUAUUAUUUUAUCAAGGGCCUUCAUGUACGUUCAUAUUCUUAUAACUUUGCACAGCAUUGAUAUAAUUAUGCGAUGUUCAGUAAGGACCUCCCCUUUGUGUUUUGUGAUAAUAUUGAUGUGAUUUUACUGUUGCUUUUAGUUUUUCUGUUGUUUCCUGAUUUGCUGUGUUUUUAGUUGAUUUCGUUGUUUCCCGAUUUGCUAUGUUUUUAGUUUUGUUGCGUUUUCUCAUUUGCUUUUACAUUAUGAUAUUUAUUAUUUUUUUUUUUGACUUUUGUUGUUGUGUUUUCUGAUUUGUUGUUGCCUGGUUUGGUUUGUUAACAUGUCUUGGCACUUAUGGGCUACCAUCCAGGCCUGGAAGAGAGGCAGCAUUACACUGUUCUGGCUAAGAGGGUGAAUUCGAAUCCCUAAAAAUAACACACAAACAGCAAUUGAUUUCACAUUGCAGGGUGUUAGGUUUGGACUCUGUUAUGAAGGGUCUGAUGGCACAUAAUGCACAUACACUAUAGUAAUGGAAAUACGUAUACUUAAAAAAAAAAAAGAAAAGAAAAAGAAGAAGAAGUGUGCUUGUAGAUAGUGUCCUUUGCUGCGGAGUGUCCAUUUCCGAGUGUGUGUGAUGUUGUACCGUGUGGAGUGUGUAGUAUAUAGACAUGGUUGUUACUCUAUGGCUUGCCGUGUUUCCUCGUCAAAUGAGAGACAUUGAGAAGAAGAGCACCAUCGUUUCGUUUUAAAAUCUCGCUGCCUAGAAAAACACAAACACCCUGUGUUUUUUCCUCUCCGUCUGAGAGCCUACGGUGAGUGUGGACGUUUUUCAGAACCGAGGUCCGGAUGGGUGUGUUCUGCUUGUAGACUGGAAUGCUUGAAAUGGCACCGAGGUAAGAUCAAUCAGAGAGAAGUUUGUUGGUCAGUGGCUGUUCUGUAUGAUGUGUGCCCCUUUACGUUGUGCUCUUACAGUUUCAUCCAGUCCCUAACCGAGUACAAACAGUCCGGUGCUAACUGCAUGCAGUACAGAAAAACUCCAUCAGUACGGAAAUUUUUUAAAAAAUAAGGUCCCUAUGUCGAAGAUGUCAGGUACGAGGAUUACUUGUAGGCUCAGUAGCAGAGCGGGAUGUGGGGGUGGGGGGUGUAUUUGGGGAUUUGUAAUUUAUCGUACAGUACAGUAGAGGCUCAGAGCACCAUGGUGGCUAGCAGGCUGGUGGAGCUGCCGGAGAGAGCGAGUGGCACAUACAGUACUUCAGCGUUCUUCAGAAGCUUACACCAACACACAGCUCCCAUCCAGCUCAUGUUCAGGGAGGAGUUUCCCUUAAAACAGCAGAUCAAAUAUGGCACUACAUGGCUUUUGGGAAACUUUACAGCUAUUGUAUGAGAACUGAUAGAACAUCUAAAUGGGAAAAAAAAACCCACCCCAAAACAAAACAAGACAAAUACAUGGAGACCACAAGCCUCAAAAUCAUCCCCCUUUCUGCAAAAACGUCUACAUGCGGCCCUGCAAUGACAACGACCUUGUUUCCGCUUUAAUAAACUGCCGGAGAUUUGCUGUUUUCUGUUAGGGCUUGAUCAAUAUAUCUACUCUGCGAGUAAAACCAGCCAGAAUUAAGAUUCCACAGACUUAUCCGUGGGAUCAGUGGGAAUGAUUUUAAAGCGCCGAUAAUACUGUAAAGCCGCACUCGUUAACGCGAGGCUAAUCGCUCACUUGUCGUUAUCCGAAGACAGAUCACGUUAUUGAUAUAUAACGUAAAUGCCACUAUUUCUAUCUGCGUUUGUUUAGUGCUUCUCCA